Molecule: long non-coding RNA, 1704 nt
Filed under: Triticum aestivum (bread wheat)
Lineage: Eukaryota; Viridiplantae; Streptophyta; Magnoliopsida; Poales; Poaceae
Description: long non-coding RNA (TAES_LNC020604)
Source: RNAcentral
ACUGAUGUGCAGUAUACAUCUUACCAACUACACACGAAAACAUAAGUUCGACAUUUAAUAUCAUCCCUCUCGGCACUCUGUAAUAGAGACCUAUAAAAGAAAUCCCGGGAACACAAAGUAGAUAAAUUACAAGCAUCAACAUAGACAUACGGUGAUGCGUAAGUUUAAUUAUCACAAACCAAAUGAAGUACCAUUUCUAUCAAAACUCUGGAAUGCACAAUUAACACACUAAUUAUUACUGUACAGGGACAAAAUAAGCUCAGCUUGGGCACAAAAACUUGACUAGAAAUCGCAAGAUAUUAAAAUAAUCCAUUUUCUAGUCCACACAGUAUUACAAAGGAGAUCAAUAAAACUAUACCACCUAUGGGUCAAGUAAAUAUAUUUCUUUGAGCAUUCUAGUCAUCCCUCUCAUCCACUAGCGGAGCUACCUCUUGGCGAAAUAGGCUAUGGCCCGCCCAUGUUGUAGCAAGUUUAAUGGAGGUUGAUGGGUAAAUUAGACCAAGCUGAUAAAAAUAGUUGGCUUUCUUUGUACUAGCCCGCCCAGGUUUGGGGCUGUAGCUCCGCUACUGCUCUCAUCGCAACAAGGACCUGCAGAAAGUAGAAACAUUGUUCAGAAAUUGGUUGGGUACCCAUACUUUUGUACUGAGGUAAACCUUUUCAUCGAACUGUUGCCAAAUUUUCAAAGAACUUGAACUUCAGAUUUAGAAGAAAUUCAGACCUCACCUGAGUGAGUACUGAAGAUGCAAAGAAUAGGCUUUUUAGGGACUUUGACUUUGGCAACUUGUUUUUGCUGCAACCUGCAAAAAAUAGGAACAAGAUAAGAUUUUUUUCAAGGGGAAGUUAACAGGGUUUGGCGUUCGAAUGAUCUAGGGGGUUCUGUCCAAACUUUUUCAGAGUUUUUAUGUAAAUAUGCAUCGAUCAGCAAAUAGCAUCAUUUUAAGCAACAAAAUUUUGAUAGCAAUCAACUUUCUAAAAACAACAAACACAGUAGUGCAGCAGCAUGCACAUUCAUCUUCCUGAAUUUAUUCUCACUUUCUGUAAAUGCCAAACCAGAAUACAUAGCAGUAGCAACCCCACAUACACAUUCAUCUCUCAAAUCUCUCUCAAACUCGCUCACUUCCUGUAAUGCAAUAGGAUUGAGGGUCGGGAGCAGAGGUAUCUGGAAAGAACAAUUAAUUGGCUGAUGGAUUCGAAGUUGAGAUCAAACAAAACAAGUUAAGAUUAAAGAACAAUUGAUUGUUCCCCAGAUUGAAUGGAAGGAAACGAACAAAAUGAAUCAAUUUGAUUACUGAUUGCGCUGCGGCAGCUACCUUUGUCGAGCUUGAGCAGUUCGUUGAGGGGCACCUUGGGCGGCAUGCUUGGCCUCCUCGUUCUCCUCCACGUCAAGGUUGCUAGUCUGCUCCUUCUCCUUCUCCUUCCUACUUCCUUCUCGAUCGAAGUAACAACAUAAACACCACCACUAGCAACAUUAAAGGUGUGCGUAAGGGUUAUGGUCGAAUCAACAUUCAGUACCUCUCUAGCUUCGCUAGUCACCGCACUAGAACUGAACUUCAGAUAGAAAAUAGAGGCAACAAUAGCAGCAAUUGGUAGCUGUUUAGGGGCAUGCAUCAGCAACAACAGAAAGGAUGCGGCUGUGCCGGGCAGUCCUAGGUGCAGUAGCAGCUUGCUGCAAGGAGCGGCUUGCACUCAGCUCCUUGAGCGACC